CUGGUUCAUGGUCUCUGCUGGCUCCCUGCUAGCUGCUCUGCCCAGGUCUGCAUUGGUUCCGGUCUGUCGCCCUCCCACUUGAACUUUUCGGACUUUUCCGCCGGUCUGUCCACUCUCUACACGGGUCAGUCUGCUGGUUCCUCGGAUCGUUGAGUGAGGAACUCCGCUCCUUACCCCCCGUGGCUGGCAUGGGUUCAUUGUUCUGGAUCGCUGUGAUUCCCGGUCCCGUCUGUUCCGCUCUGCUGGUGGCAUGUUCGUCAUUUAUCAGGGAGAGACAGCAGCAGGAUGAGCUAUGGGAAGAAGACCAGCUGGUGGAGGCAGUCUGAUGCUCUGGAGAAUGUUCUGCUGGGAAACCUUGGGUCCUGGUGUUCGUUUGGAUGUUACUUCAACAUGUUCCACCUCCUAAAGGUUGCUGCAGACCACCCAGCCAUAGUGAUGGUACUCCCUGACCUCUUUCAGCAGGAUAAAGCUCUGUGCUGCACGGUAAACAUUGUUCAGGAACAUGAGAAGGAGUUCAAGGUGUUUGCUCAGCCUCCACUUUCCUCACAUCUCCAUCCAACAAGUCGGAUCCAUGCAGGACCGACCUGAACUUGAAGGAUCUGCUGCUACCAUCAUACUACAGGACACCUUCCCAGGUGUGGUGGAGGAGGAUCUAUCUACAACAGGGAGGUGGUUUUAAUCUAGUGGCUGAUGGAUCUAUGUUCUGUUGUCAGUUUUGUUGUUGUCAUUUUGAUUAUAAAGUAAAAUACGUGAUCAUUCAGUUCCAGAUAACUGUGACUAAAUUUUUUGCGAAUGUACUUUUUUCACUAAAACAAAGGAACCAUUAGGAGCUGUGGUUAUUUACAGGUUAUUAUGCUGUGGUUUUACUGGUCCACUGGAGAUCAGAGUGGACUGAAUGUGGAACCUGGACUAAGAUGAGUUUGACUCCCCUGAUUUAGAGGUGU
Amphiprion ocellaris (clown anemonefish) is the source of this 944-nucleotide long non-coding RNA. The record is from Ensembl. Lineage: Eukaryota; Metazoa; Chordata; Actinopteri; Pomacentridae.